This 465-nucleotide ribosomal RNA is filed under the name uncultured bacterium. Its description in RNAcentral is "partial 16S ribosomal RNA". It matches the Rfam family "Bacterial small subunit ribosomal RNA", at positions 338 to 795 of the family's 1533-position model. The record is from RNAcentral.
CCUACGGGCGGCAGCAGUAGGGAAUCUUCCACAAUGGGCGAAAGCCUGAUGGAGCAACGCCGCGUGGGUGAAGAAGGUCUUCGGAUCGUAAAACCCUGUUGUUAGAGAAGAAAGUGCGUGAGAGUAACUGUUCACGUUUCGACGGUAUCUAACCAGAAAGCCACGGCUAACUACGUGCCAGCAGCCGCGGUAAUACGUAGGUGGCAAGCGUUAUCCGGAUUUAUUGGGCGUAAAGGGAACGCAGGCGGUCUUUUAAGUCUGAUGGGAAAGCCUUCGGCUUAACCGGAGUAGGGCAUUGGAAACUGGGAGACUUGAGUGCAGAAGAGGAGAGUGGACCUCCAUGUGUAGCGGUGAAAUGCGUAGAUAUAUGGAAGAACACCAGUGGCGAAAGCGGCUCUCUGGUCUGUAACUGACGCUGAGGUUCGAAAGCGUGGGUAGCAAACAGGAUUAGAUACCCCAGUAGUC